AGCGAACGCUGGCGGCAGGCCUAAUACAUGCAAGUCGAGCGCCCUUUCGGGGGAGCGGCGGACGGGUGAGUAACGCGUGGGAAUAUGCCCUUUGGUACGGAACAACUGAGGGAAACUUCAGCUAAUACCGUAUGUGCCCUUCGGGGGAAAGAUUUAUCGCCAUUGGAGUAGCCCGCGUUGGAUUAGCUAGUUGGUGGGGUAAAGGCCCACCAAGGCGACGAUCCAUAGCUGGUCUGAGAGGAUGAUCAGCCACACUGGGACUGAGACACGGCCCAGACUCCUACGGGAGGCAGCAGUAGGGAAUCUUGCGCAAUGGGCGAAAGCCUGACGCAGCCAUGCCGCGUGAAUGAUGAAGGUCUUAGGAUUGUAAAAUUCUUUCACCGGGGAAGAUAAUGACGGUACCCGGAGAAGAAGCCCCGGCUAACUUCGUGC
Molecule: ribosomal RNA, 432 nt
Filed under: uncultured bacterium
Lineage: Bacteria
Description: bacterial SSU rRNA
Rfam family: Bacterial small subunit ribosomal RNA
Source: RNAcentral